CAAGUUACAAAGGGCGUAUGGUGGAUGCCCAGGCACUUAGAGCCGAAGAAGGACGCAGCGAGCGGCGAAACGCUCCGGGGAGCCGCAAGCAGGCAGAGAUCCGGAGAUAUCCGAAUGGGGAAACCCGCUUAAGGUAAUACUUAAGCAUCCCAUGGUGAACACAUAGCCAUGAGGAAGGGAGACCGCGCGAACUGAAACAUCUAAGUAGCGCGAGGAAAAGAAAGAAAAAUCGAUUUCCCAAGUAGCGGCGAGCGAACAGGAAAGAGCCCAAACCAUCACCUAUGGUGAUGGGGUUUAGGACCACGCAAAAGGAGUAUCAGACGAAGCCGAACAGACCUGGAAAGGCGGGCCAAAGACGGUGAAAGCCCGGUAGGCGAAAGGAAGAUACCCAAGUGGGAUCCAGAGUACCACAGGAUAGGCAACCCGGUGGGAAGACGGGAGGACCAUCUCCCAAGGCUAAAUACUACUAAGUGACCGAUAGCGCAAAGUACCGUGAGGGAAAGGUGAAAAGAACCCCGGGAGGGGAGUGAAAAAGAACCUGAAACCAUAUGUCCACAAGCAGUGGAAGUCUGGCACUCAACUGAACAUGUUAGGGAGGAGAAAAAAGAACUAGCGUGUCCGGUUGAGUGCCAGACGACCACGUACUUUUUGUAGAACGGACCGGCGAGUUAUAGAUAUGCAGCAAGGUUAAGCGAAAGCGGAGCCGAAGCGAAAGCGAGUCUAAAAAGGGCGGAAGUUGCAUAUCAUAGACCCGAAACCGUGCGACCUACCCAUGAUCAGGGUGAAGCCGGAGUAAGAUCUGGUGGAGGCCCGAACCACGUUGACGUUGAAAAGUCAUGGGAUGAAUUGUGGGUAGAGGAGAAAUUCCAAUCGAGCUCGGAGAUAGCUGGUUCUCCCCGAAAUAGCUUUAGGGCUAGCCUCAGGGAGUAAAUAUGGAGGUAGAGCACUGAAUGGGCUAGGGGCCAAAAAGGCUACCGAACCCUAUCAAACUCCGAAUGCCAUAUUGAUACCUGGGAGUCAGACUACGAGUGAUAAGAUCCGUGGUCAAAAGGGAAAGAGCCCAGACCGACAGCUAAGGUCCCAAAGAGCAUGUUAAGUGGGAAAGGAAGUAGGACUUCCAAGACAACCAGGAUGUUGGCUUAGAAGCAGCCAUACAUUCAAAGAGUGCGUAAUAGCUCACUGGUCGAGAAAUCCUGCGCCGAAAAUAAACGGGGCUAAAACAUGACACCGAAGCUUCGGAUGAAAAAUGGUAGGGGAGCGUACUGUAUAGGGGGAAGGAUAAGCGGAAGCGAAUCUGGACAAUACAGUAGAGAGAAUGCCGGUAUAAGUAACGAGAGUAAGGCGAGAAACCUUACCGUCGAAAGCCUAAGGAUUCCUGGGGAAGGAUAAUCCGCCCAGGGUAAGUCGGGACCUAAGCCGAGGCGAAAGCGUAGGCGAUGGACAACCGGUAAUGAGUCCGGUACCACCAAUAUCCGAUAAAAGAGAAGCAAGGACGCAGCGAGAUAAGAAAAGCGUGCGGUUGGUAGAGCACGUCCAAGCAGCGACGAAAAGGGAUGUGAGUGAAGUACCACAUACCAUAAGAGCUGUAACGGGGAGCCGAAAGGCGAAGUUUCAAAGGGGCUGCCGAGAAAAAUUGCUAUCGAGGAUAAAGGUGCCCGUACCGCAAACCGACACAGGUAGGCGAGGAGAGAAUCCAAAGACGAGCGGGAGAACCCUCAUUAAGGAACUCGGCAAAAAGACUCCGUAACUUCGGGAGAAGGAGUGCCGAAAGGCCGCAGAGAAGAGGCCCAAGCGACUGUUUACCAAAAACACAGGUUUCUGCUAAGUCGAAAGACGAAGUAUAGGAGCUGACGCCUGCCCGGUGCUGGAAGGUUAAGGGGAAAUGUUAUCCGGCACUCAACUAUCUUAGUAGAUAGAGUUGAGUGCCGGAGAAGCAUAGAACUUAAGCCCCAGUAAACGGCGGCCGUAACUAUAACGGUCCUAAGGUAGCGAAAUUCCUUGUCGGGUAAGUUCCGACCUGCACGAAAGGCGUAACGACUUGGGCGCUGUCUAGAUGGGGGACCCGGUGAAAUUGUAGUACUCGUGAAGAUGCGAGUUACCCGCGACAGGACAGAAAGACCCCAUGGAGCUUUACUGCAGCUUGUCACUGGAUUUUAGUAAUCCCUGUACAGGAUAGGUGGGAGGCAGAGAAAGAUGGGCGCAAGCCUAUCUGGAGCCGACGUUGGGAUACCACCCUGAGAUUACCGAAAUUCUAACAUAGGAGCCGUAAGCCGGCAUAUGGACACUGACAGGCGGGCAGUUUGACUGGGGCGGUCGCCUCCAAAAAAGUAACGGAGGCGUCCAAAGGUUACCUCAGCGCGGAAGGAAAUCGCGCGUAAGAGUGCAAAGGCAGAAGGUAGCCUAACUGUGAGAAAAACAAUUCGAGCAGGGACGAAAGUCGGGCUUAGUGAUCCGGCGGUAGAGAAUGGGAUUGCCGUCGCUCAACGGAUAAAAGCUACCCUGGGGAUAACAGGCUGAUCUCCCCCAAGAGUCCACAUCGACGGGGAGGUUUGGCACCUCGAUGUCGGCUCAUCGCAUCCUGGGGCUGAAGUAGGUCCCAAGGGUUGGGCUGUUCGCCCAUUAAAGCGGUACGCGAGCUGGGUUCAGAACGUCGUGAGACAGUUCGGUCCCUAUCCGUCGCGGGCGUAGGAAAUUUGAGAGGGGCUGCCCUUAGUACGAGAGGACCGGGGUGGACGAACCGAUGGUGUACCAGUUGCGUAGCCGUACGCACAGCUGGGUAGCCAAGUUCGGAAGGGAUAAACGCUGAAAGCAUCUAAGCGUGAAACCCACCUCAAGAUAAGAUUUCCCAAACCGAAAGGGAGUAAGACACCUUGAAGAAGACGAGGUAGAUAGGCCGGAGGUGUAAGAGUAGAAAUACUUUGAGCUGACCGGUACUAAUAAGUCGAGGACUUGACCA
This 2956-nucleotide ribosomal RNA is filed under the name Thermoanaerobacterium sp. RBIITD. RNAcentral's name for it is "bacterial LSU rRNA". It matches the Rfam family "Bacterial large subunit ribosomal RNA". Lineage: Bacteria; Bacillati; Bacillota; Clostridia; Thermoanaerobacterales; Thermoanaerobacteraceae. The record is from RNAcentral.